AGUGAACGCUGGCGGCAGGCCUAACACAUGCAAGUCGAACGGCAGCACAGAGGAGCUUGCUCCUUGGGUGGCGAGUGGCGGACGGGUGAGGAAUACAUCGGAAUCUGCCUAGUCGUGGGGGAUAACGUAGGGAAACUUACGCUAAUACCGCAUACGACCUACGGGUGAAAGCGGGGGAUCGCAAGACCUCGCGCGAUUAGAUGAGCCGAUGUCCGAUUAGCUAGUUGGCGGGGUAAUGGCCCACCAAGGCGACGAUCGGUAGCUGGUCUGAGAGGAUGAUCAGCCACACUGGAACUGAGACACGGUCCAGACUCCUACGGGAGGCAGCAGUGGGGAAUAUUGGACAAUGGGCGCAAGCCUGAUCCAGCCAUGCCGCGUGGGUGAAGAAGGCCUCGGUUGUAA
This 402-nucleotide ribosomal RNA is filed under the name uncultured bacterium. Its description in RNAcentral is "bacterial SSU rRNA". It matches the Rfam family "Bacterial small subunit ribosomal RNA", at positions 29 to 428 of the family's 1533-position model. The record is from RNAcentral.